Molecule: ribosomal RNA, 468 nt
Filed under: uncultured bacterium
Lineage: Bacteria
Description: partial 16S ribosomal RNA
Rfam family: Bacterial small subunit ribosomal RNA
Source: RNAcentral
GACGAACGCUGGCGGCGUGCUUAACACAUGCAAGUCGAACGGAAAGGCCCUGCUUUUGUGGGGUGCUCGAGUGGCGAACGGGUGAGUAACACGUGAGUAACCUGCCCUUGACCUUGGGAUAACUUCAGGAAACUGGGGCUAAUACCGGAUAGGAGCUCCUGCUGCAUGGUGGGGGUUGGAUAGUUUCGGCGGUUGGGGAUGGACUCGCGGCUUAUCAGCUUGUUUGUUGGGUAGUGGCUUACCAAGGCUUUGACGGGUAGCCGGCCUGAGAGGGUGACCGGCCACAUUGGGAUUGAGAUACGGCCCAGACUCCUACGGGAGGCAGCAGUGGAGAAUAUGGCACUAUGGGCGGAAGCCUGAUGAAGCAACGCCGCGUGCGGGAUGACGGGCUUCGGGUUGUAACCCGCUUUCGCCUGUGACGAAGCGUUAGUGACGGUAAUGGGUUAAGAAGCACCGGCUAACUACGUG